RNAcentral lists this ribosomal RNA (253 nucleotides) under uncultured bacterium. RNAcentral's name for it is "partial 16S ribosomal RNA". It matches the Rfam family "Bacterial small subunit ribosomal RNA", at positions 524 to 776 of the family's 1533-position model. The record is from RNAcentral.
UACAUGGGGUGCAAACGUUGCUCGGAAUUAUUGGGCGUAAAGCGCGCGCAGGCGGUCUUUUAAGUCUGAUGUGAAAGCCCACGGCUCAACCGUGGAGGGUCAUUGGAAACUGGGAGACUUGAGUGCAGAAGAGAAGAGUGGAAUUCCACGUGUAGCGGUGAAAUGCGUAGAGAUGUGGAGGAACACCAGUGGCGAAGGCGACUCUUUGGUCUGUAACUGACGCUGAGGCGCGAAAGCGUGGGGAGCAAACAGG